UACGGGAGGCAGCAGUGGGGAAUAUUGCACAAUGGGCGCAAGCCUGAUGCAGCCAUGCCGCGUGUAUGAAGAAGGCCUUAGGGUUGUAAAGUACUUUCAGUGGGGAGGAAGGCGAUGAAGUUAAUAGCUUCGUCGAUUGACGUUACCCGCAGAAGAAGCACCGGCUAACUCCGUACCAGCAGCCGCGGUAAUA
This 193-nucleotide ribosomal RNA is filed under the name uncultured Erwinia sp. Its description in RNAcentral is "partial 16S ribosomal RNA". It matches the Rfam family "Bacterial small subunit ribosomal RNA", at positions 340 to 525 of the family's 1533-position model. Lineage: Bacteria; Pseudomonadati; Pseudomonadota; Gammaproteobacteria; Enterobacterales; Erwiniaceae. The record is from RNAcentral.